Molecule: ribosomal RNA, 497 nt
Filed under: uncultured bacterium
Lineage: Bacteria
Description: partial 16S ribosomal RNA
Rfam family: Bacterial small subunit ribosomal RNA
Source: RNAcentral
GAUGAACGCUGGCGGCGUGCCUAAUACAUGCAAGUCGAGCGAACGGACGCUAAGCUUGCUUCUCUGAUGUUAGCGGCGGACGUGUGAGUAACACGUGGAUAACCUACCUAUAAGACUGGUAUAACUUCGGGAAACCGUAUCUAAUACCGGAUAAUCUUUUGCACCGCAUGGUUCAAAAGUGAAAGACGGUCUUGCUGUCACUUAUCGAUGGAUCCGGGCUGCAUUAGCUAGUUGUUAAGGUAACGGCUUACCAAGGCAACGAUGCAUAGACGACGUGUGGGGGGGAUAGCCCACACGGGAGGGGGAACGCGGUCAAGAGGACUAAGAGAGGCAGCAGUAGGGAAUGUGCGGCAGAAGGGGAGAGCAUGACGGAACAACGGGAAGUGAGAGAUAAAGGUGUUGGGAGCGUAAAACUCUGUUAUGAGGGAAGAACAGAUGUGGAAGGAGAUGUACAGAGAGUGACGGUAACUAAUAAAAAAGCAACGGCUAACUACGUG